This 238-nucleotide ribosomal RNA is filed under the name uncultured bacterium. RNAcentral's name for it is "partial 16S ribosomal RNA". It matches the Rfam family "Bacterial small subunit ribosomal RNA", at positions 333 to 588 of the family's 1533-position model. The record is from RNAcentral.
UUUUUCCUACGGGGGGCAGCAGUGAGGGAUAUUGGUCAAUGGGGGAAACCCUGAACCAGCAACGCCGCGUGAGAGAAGACGGUUUUCGGAUUGUAAACCUCUGUCCUCUGUGAAGAUAAUGACGGUAGCAGAGGAGGAAGCUCCGGCUAACUACGUGCCAGCAGCCGCGGUAAUACGUAGGGAGCGAGCGUUGUCCGGAUUUACUGGGUGUAAAGGGUGCGUAGGCGGGGUAGCAAGU